Long non-coding RNA from Drosophila nasuta, 751 nucleotides. RefSeq lists it as uncharacterized. The record is from RefSeq and is a predicted model, not a curated record. NCBI's taxonomy places the organism in Eukaryota, Metazoa, Arthropoda, Insecta, Diptera, Drosophilidae. The transcript has 3 exons.
ACAUGCGUUGCUAAGACAAAUAUCAGCAGUUUGCGCAAAACCAUCAUUCAGAGAACGUGUAUUCAAGAUUAUCAUAAUUGAGUAUUUGAAUAUUACCAACUAAAUAUGGGAUUCAAUGAAGAAUGGAAAGUCACUUUUAGUAUCAUCAAUGCGUUAUUUACGCCUGUGCUUAUUAGGGUAAUAUGGGGAAAGGACACACUAUAUCAUCUAGAUUAUCCACGUCCUUUACUUUUAUUUACUUAUUUACUUUGCCUUAUCGCGCUAUCGAUCAAUGUACAUUUAAAUAUGCUCAAUUUUGAACGCACAUUUAAGACGAAUCGUAGAUUAUUUUUAACAAUUUUCUCCUGCUCGAUCUUUAUGUAUUCAUUGUUCUCUACAUUACUUGGGCGAGUAAUUUUAUAUACAAUGAUAACAAAGUUAUUUCUCAUUGUUGUCAUAAUCUACUUUGUUGUUUCGUCUCUUAUCGUUUUUUUGAUACACAUGGAUUUUCAAAAGAAUCAAAACACGGUGUUUGAUACUGAAAUGACUACCAUCGAAACGAUACCAGAGUAAUGAGAGAUCUGAUAUCGAUACUAAAUAUCUUUGAAGAAUUUCUUAUUAAGUACUUACUCAACGCUCAAUGCUCAACUACCUCAGAAGAUUUAAAGUAGACUUUUAUCUAAAAUAUCUAGUGAUGCGAGUUAUUUUUAUUACUGUAAAAUGUUGUAUGUUUCAACGAAAAUCUAGUCAAAUAUAUUAAAAAUUUAUAUUA